UUGCAGUCUGCAACUCACUGCAUGAAGCCGGAAUCGCUAGUAAUCGCGGAUCAGAAUGCCGCGGUGAAUACGUUCCCGGGUCUUGUACACACCGCCCGUCACACCAUGGGAGUCGGAAAUGCCCGAAGCCGGUGGCCUAACCGAUAAGGGAGGAGCCGUCGAAGGCAGGUCUGAUGACUGGGGUGAAGUCGUAACAAGGUACC
This 203-nucleotide ribosomal RNA is filed under the name uncultured bacterium. RNAcentral describes it as "partial 16S ribosomal RNA". It matches the Rfam family "Bacterial small subunit ribosomal RNA", at positions 1298 to 1500 of the family's 1533-position model. The record is from RNAcentral.